This 84-nucleotide transfer RNA is filed under the name Clostridiales bacterium. Its description in RNAcentral is "tRNA-Leu". It matches the Rfam family "tRNA". From Rfam's summary of the family: Transfer RNA (tRNA) molecules are approximately 80 nucleotides in length. Their secondary structure includes four short double-helical elements and three loops (D, anti-codon, and T loops). The record is from RNAcentral. RNAcentral also lists the same sequence under 1 other name. Lineage: Bacteria; Bacillati; Bacillota; Clostridia; Eubacteriales.
GCGGCUGUGGCGGAAUGGCAGACGCGCACGCUUGAGGGGCGUGUGGUAUAUACCGUGCUGGUUCAAGUCCAGUCAGCCGCACCA